AUUGAACGCUGGCGGCAUGCCUUACACAUGCAAGUCGAACGACGCCAGGGGGCAACUCCUGGCGAGUGGCAAACGGGUGAGUAAUACAUCGGAAUGUAUCCCGUCGUGGGGGACAACCAGUCGAAAGACUGGCUAAUACCGCAUGAGAUCGAAAGAUGAAAGCGGGGGAUCCGCAAGGACCUCGCGCGAUGGGAGCAGCCGAUGUCGGAUUAGCUAGUUGGCGGGGUAAAAGCCCACCAAGGCGACGAUCUGUAGUUGGUCUGAGAGGACGACCAGCCACACUGGGACUGAGACACGGCCCAGACUCCUACGGGAGGCAGCAGUGGGGAAUUUUGGACAAUGGGCGCAAGCCUGAUCCAGCAAUGCCGCGUGCAGGAA
This 378-nucleotide ribosomal RNA is filed under the name uncultured bacterium. RNAcentral's name for it is "bacterial SSU rRNA". It matches the Rfam family "Bacterial small subunit ribosomal RNA", at positions 29 to 409 of the family's 1533-position model. The record is from RNAcentral.